AGUCUGGAGAAGCGUCCU
RNAcentral lists this non-coding RNA (18 nucleotides) under Arabidopsis thaliana (thale cress). Lineage: Eukaryota; Viridiplantae; Streptophyta; Magnoliopsida; Brassicales; Brassicaceae. RNAcentral also lists the same sequence under 1 other name. The record is from RNAcentral.